UCAUUUAUUAUUCCUUCAGAUUACAUUCAGUCUAAAGAACAUUGUGAUUUUCUUUUAAAGUGAUUCUCUUCCUUAUGUGUGUAUGAACUGACCUGGAAGUCACUACUGUCUGUUUAUCUUCAUGUGAAACAGUUAACAAUGUGUUUCUCAGACCUUUGAUUAGUUAUCACACCUAGGAACUGGGUUGCUAGUUGAUUGUAUCAGAAGUUUUACGACCUUUGUUGUUUUUCCUGACUGUCCCCUAGGUAGAAAUUCCUUAGUCGUAAAACUGUGUUUGAUUGUGUUCGUUUCGGGGGCUCCUAAUCUUAUCAGCACCAGCCCCCUUUGCUUUUGUUUUGUGUUAAUAAAAAGACAAGCUCUACUGCAGAGUUUCAGAACACAUGGUGAACUGGUCAGAGGAGCAGUUCUCUGUGUUUUCUCCUUUUGCAAAAGCUUGGCUAUAAAAUUCAUAAUACGUUGUCUGUGGUUCUUUCUUUUAUUUAGGUUCGAAAGGAAAAAUACCUAUCAUUUUGGUGCCGAAACCCGGGAUCUCUCACCUCCCCCGCUGACAGGCAGAGGAAGACGCGCUGAAUCCGUGCACGGCCAGAUUCAAUUGAACCUGGAAAGACAGACUCAGGAAGCAAAUUCUUCGCUGGGCCAGCGACGUAGGUCCGACUUUGUCUGCCAACGGCGGAGUGACGAGAUCCGACUGGACAACCCGAAAACUACAGAAACAAAGCCCCUCCCAUCAAGCCAGGAGACUGGCUUGUCAGAGAAAGGAAGAGCUGGGCCAGCCCACUGUGGGAGGGACCAUUCCAAGUGCUGAUAACCACACCAACUGCUGUAAAUAUUGCUGAAAGACCCAGAUGGAUACAUCUCAGUCACUGUACGGUACAGAGAGUGUUAGACUUCUAGAUUGAGUGAUGGGGAAGAUCUGGCUACACAGGGAAUUCACUGUAUAGAUGUGUUUUGUCUCAACGCCAGCAGAAGAAUUCAACAGAUCCUCACUCUUUUAGCCUAGAAAUUCUGACAUCUCUGUAAUCUGAGCAGCAAUGGGACUCUCACAAGCCAGGUGGAAUCCCUGCUGUGCUGUGACUGCAGCAUGUUUAUUGUGUUGGAGUGGGGGCUGUCUCACCCUCAACAAGAUAAGGAGAGAAGCAGACACAUCUUUCCCCCAGACUCAUUCACAAGAUUACAGCCCCUAUUUGUGGUGGCAACUGAUGAAUAGAACUGAAUAUGAAGAAAAUGGGACCAACACAUAACUGUGGUCUGAGACAUGGAAACAAGCACACACCCAAGUGACACCAUACAUCUGCCACAGAUAGACCUCUGACUACCAGAAGUAAUUAUUUUGGUUAGUCUUAAGCCAGGAGCCCUUGGUGUCUGUGUGUAUAAUGGCACCACCUUUCUGGGGACAGCUCCAUAGAACCUGUGAAACAAAAAAUCUACACCUCCUGUGACAAGAAAGCAGACAUUUUUGACUGUGACGACUGCCAAGCGACGAACCACAUCAGUACUGCCUGUUCCAAAAGAUGGAAGUCUGACCGCAACUGUACCAGAGUUAUUCUUCUAAAGAUGAGGAAGUUCGACAUCGGAAGCAAGACCAGGGGACAUCAAAGUCACCUUCUGCAGCACCAUCAUUCCAGGGAACAGAGGAUCCAGGACAAUGGCAGACUGUGACUUUCCUGAAAAAGGUCCAGGACGUUCACAGCCAUGGACGCUACUGCACUAGGAGAGAUGUCAUGCCGAAAGCCCAACCCAAAGGUGGGGAGGCCUUACUAAAAAAACUGGAGUUCCUUGGAAAUUCCGGAUCUGGAGCGGCAGAGAAGAGUGUAUCCAAAGUCUAUUCCCAUCAGUGGGAGUAGCUGAAGUUCGAGACCAUGUUGAGAUCAACAGGAACUGGAGGAACUAUACAUGAUGCCCUGCAUGAAUGGGAAGAGCUUAAAGACUAUGUGGACGAUGCGACUCAGAGGUCACAGCCUUUUGACUCUAUUUCUUGGCUCACCUCCAGACCCUGGUGGCAGCCUUUUUAUUAAAGAUUGGAACACCCAUCAUGACUGUACUGAUCCUAUUCUGUCUCUAUACAACCUGCAUCAUUCCAAGUCUUCGUAGCAUUAUGUUAAAGACAUUUAACACUGCUUUGAUCAGCUAUCAGAUGGACAGGGUAACCUCUGACACAGAUGAGGACUACAUCUGGUUUCCAGAAAAAUGAAGAUAAACAGGAAAACAGGAACAUAUGAUGAUGUGCUGUACCUAAUAAACAGAUUAAAUCAUUUGCUCAAUGGCUCCUGCACUGAACAUGUGACAAUAGAUGAUGUUCGUGAUUUAAAAUGCAUUUGGGGUAUACUGUUUCUUUAUUUUUCAUUUAUUGCAUUAUAUUCCAUAUAUUCAUUGUGUAUUUUCUGUGUUUAGAUUAGAAAAAAAAAAAAAAAAAAAAAAUCUUGCAUUUAUUGGUUCUUUUCUUUUCUUUUCUUUUCUAUGCUUAGCUUUUGCAUAAAGUUUACACGCAUAAUAAAAUGAUAAAAAGGGGGGAAUGUUAGAGAUUUUUUGGUAUUAUCAUUUAUUAUUCCUUCAGAUUACAUUCAGUCUAAAGAACAUUGUGAUUUUCUUUUAAAGUGAUUCUCUUCCUUAUGUGUGUAUGAACUGACCUGGAAGUCACUACUGUCUGUUUAUCUUCAUGUGAAACAGUUAACAAUGUGUUUCUCAGACCUUUGAUUAGUUAUCACACCUAGGAACUGGGUUGCUAGUUGAUUGUAUCAGAAGUUUUACGACCUUUGUUGUUUUUCCUGACUGUCCCCUAGGUAGAAAUUCCUUAGUCGUAAAACUGUGUUUGAUUGUGUUCGUUUCGGGGGCUCCUAAUCUUAUCAGCACCAGCCCCCUUUGCUUUUGUUUUGUGUUAAUAAAAA
Long non-coding RNA from Xiphophorus hellerii (green swordtail), 2885 nucleotides. RefSeq lists it as uncharacterized. The transcript is spliced from 2 exons. The record is from RefSeq and is a predicted model, not a curated record. NCBI's taxonomy places the organism in Eukaryota, Metazoa, Chordata, Actinopteri, Cyprinodontiformes, Poeciliidae.